Molecule: ribosomal RNA, 57 nt
Filed under: uncultured fungus
Lineage: Eukaryota; Fungi
Description: partial 28S ribosomal RNA
Source: RNAcentral
ACCUCGGNAUCAGGUAGGAAUACCCGCUGAACUUAAGCAUAUCAAUAAGCGGGAGGA